UGCCUUCCUCGGAUUCGUAUGCUUCGGUACAUCAUGAAAUGUGAUUCAAGCUUGCUAAUUAUAACCCAUCUGUCGAUCAGAGCAUUAUUGAUGUCAUAAAAGUGGACAACAUGCUUGAAUAGUGAGUUUCCAUAGUAGCAACGUGGAGUGAAAGCUGACUUUAAUUUGUUUUGAACUUAAAACUAAAAAUUACAAGUCCACUUUCCUGAACUCUGUUUGUCGCUGUUAGAGCAAGCUUAGUGGAAGAUACAAUUGCUUCCCAACAGCACGAAAUACAAGCUCUAUUCCCAACACCAAAUCAUCAAGCUCCAAGAGACCGGAGACUAGAGUUUUUCAUCUCAAGAAAUUCUGCCACAUGGUGAGUGUUAGUAACAUUUGGUUGAGCAUCUUGACUUCGUUCCGCAAGUGCAUGAUUGAAUGAUCAAACAAAGCUCUUUGCAAAGUGUUUAGAUGCACCACCACUUCGAAAAGCUAAGUGACUAUAUCACGGGUGCUCGUCA
Molecule: long non-coding RNA, 500 nt
Filed under: Physcomitrium patens
Lineage: Eukaryota; Viridiplantae; Streptophyta; Bryopsida; Funariales; Funariaceae
Description: long non-coding RNA (PPAT_LNC011548)
Source: RNAcentral